UACGUAGGGUGCAAGCGUUAAUCGGAAUUACUGGGCGUAAAGCGCACGUAGGCGGCGACGUAAGUCGGGUGUGAAAGCCCCGGGCUCAACCUGGGAAUUGCAUUCGAGACUGCAUUGCUGGAGUACGGAAGAGGAGGGCGGAAUUCCCGGUGUAGCGGUGAAAUGCGUAGAUAUGCGGAGGAACACCGAUGGCGAAGGCAAUCCCCUGGACCGGUACUGACGCUCAUGCACGAAAGCGUGGGGAGCAAACAGG
RNAcentral lists this ribosomal RNA (253 nucleotides) under uncultured bacterium. RNAcentral's name for it is "partial 16S ribosomal RNA". It matches the Rfam family "Bacterial small subunit ribosomal RNA", at positions 524 to 776 of the family's 1533-position model. The record is from RNAcentral.